CCAGGAAAUCCUCUCGACUACGGGUCUCAAGGGUCUUCUGGCAGAAUGGAGGUAGAGAUCUUCCAGGGGUGGAAUCAUGAUCUGACUGAGGGCUCUCCACCCUCGGAUUCGUCUUUUCGGGAAAGAUGGGGCGGCUGGCCCAAGUGGCCCGUCCUACCACCGGACUUUGGUGUUCUGGUGAUGCUCUCUCCAGUCGCACUGAUGCCUGCAGCAGCUGCUACUGUUGUAUGGCCUGCACAGCUUCAGUGAGGCCUCUGACCUGCUGCACUAGUAGGUUGAAUUGCUCCGUGCCAACCACCGUUGCCAAAGGAGGAGGAGGAGGCUGGAAAAUUGAGGGUGAGGCCAGAGCCUGAGAUCUGGCCACGG
This 366-nucleotide long non-coding RNA is filed under the name Elaeis guineensis (African oil palm). Its description in RNAcentral is "long non-coding RNA (EGUI_LNC050048)". Lineage: Eukaryota; Viridiplantae; Streptophyta; Magnoliopsida; Arecales; Arecaceae. The record is from RNAcentral.